CGGGGCGUGGUGUAACGGUAGCAUACAUGCUUUGGGAGCAUGCAGUUCGGGUUCAAAUCCCGGCGCCCCGACGA
RNAcentral lists this transfer RNA (74 nucleotides) under Candidatus Taylorbacteria bacterium RIFOXYD2_FULL_36_9. Its description in RNAcentral is "tRNA-Pro". It matches the Rfam family "tRNA". Rfam says of the family: Transfer RNA (tRNA) molecules are approximately 80 nucleotides in length. The record is from RNAcentral. Lineage: Bacteria; Candidatus Tayloriibacteriota.